This 158-nucleotide ribosomal RNA is filed under the name uncultured bacterium. RNAcentral describes it as "partial 16S ribosomal RNA". The record is from RNAcentral.
GGGGGCAAAACCUGAACAGCCAUGCCGCGUGAGUGAAGAAGGCCUUCGGGUUGUAAAGCUCUUUUGGGAGGAAAGAAGGGACUGGGUAGUAAAAGGGGGGGGGGACGCUUCCGAGCGAGCACCCCCGGGAUUACUCCCUGCCACCAGCCCCGAUAAUA